RNAcentral lists this long non-coding RNA (302 nucleotides) under Mustela putorius furo (domestic ferret). RNAcentral's name for it is "lncRNA (ENSMPUG00000027054.1)". Lineage: Eukaryota; Metazoa; Chordata; Mammalia; Carnivora; Mustelidae. The record is from RNAcentral.
GAAAGUGAGGAGAUUUCUUAGAAAAUAGGUUUUAUUUAAGGUUUUUUUUUUUGUUUGUUUGUUUGUUUUGUCUUGUUUUUUUUUUUUUUUUUUUUUUUUUUUUUUUUUUCAGAUGAUGACCAUGAAUUCCAAAGGGAGAAGUAGAAGAGUUUGGUGCAUUGCUGGGGCAGAGGUGGUAGACAUGAAUGAGACCCAGGACACACAAUGUUGAUGGCUGAGUACAAGAGGCAUUGAGAAGAGAAAAUGAAAUGCUGACAUUGAGGAUGUCACCAGAUGGGAGAACAGAGCCAGCUGGAAAGUGG